GGUGAAAAGCACCCCGGAAGGGGAGUGAAAUAGAACCUGAAACCGUGUGCUUACAAGUAGUCAGAGCCCGUUAAUGGGUGAUGGCGUGCCUUUUGUAGAAUGAACCGGCGAGUUACGAUUUGAUGCAAGGUUAAGCAGUAAAUGUGGAGCCGUAGCGAAAGCGAGUCUGAAUAGGGCGUUUAGUAUUUGGUCGUAGACCCGAAACCAGGUGAUCUACCCUUGGUCAGGUUGAAGUUCAGGUAACACUGAAUGGAGGACCGAACCGACUUACGUUGAAAAGUGAGCGGAUGAACUGAGGGUAGCGGAGAAAUUCCAAUCGAACCUGGAGAUAGCUGGUUCUCUCCGAAAUAGCUUUAGGGCUAGCCUCAAGUGAUGAUUAUUGGAGGUAGAGCACUGUUUGGACGAGGGGCCCCUCUCGGGUUACCGAAUUCAGACAAACUCCGAAUGCCAAUUAAUUUAACUUGGGAGUCAGAACAUGGGUGAUAAGGUCCGUGUUCGAAAGGGAAACAGCCCAGACCACCAGCUAAGGUCCCAAAAUAUAUGUUAAGUGGAAAAGGAUGUGGCGUUGCCCAGACAACUAGGAUGUUGGCUUAGAAGCAGCCAUCAUUUAAAGAGUGCGUAAUAGCUCACUAGUCGAGUGACACUGCGCCGAAAAUGUACCGGGGCUAAACAUAUUACCGAAGCUGUGGAUUGUCCUUUGGACAAUGGUAGGAGAGCGUUCUAAGGGC
RNAcentral lists this ribosomal RNA (728 nucleotides) under Staphylococcus aureus. RNAcentral describes it as "partial 23S ribosomal RNA". It matches the Rfam family "Bacterial large subunit ribosomal RNA", at positions 513 to 1248 of the family's 2925-position model. Lineage: Bacteria; Bacillati; Bacillota; Bacilli; Caryophanales; Staphylococcaceae. The record is from RNAcentral.